AUUGAACGCUGGCGGCAGGCUUAACACAUGCAAGUCGAGCGGGGGGAGGUAGCUUGCUACCGGACCUAGCGGCGGACGGGUGAGUAAUGCUUAGGAAUCUGCCUAUUAGUGGGGGACAACAUCUCGAAAGGGAUGCUAAUACCGCAUACGUCCUACGGGAGAAAGCAGGGGGUCUUCGGACCUUGCGCUAAUAGAUGAGCAUAAGUCGGAUUAGCUAGUUGGUGGGGUAAAGGCCUACCAAGGCGACGAUCUGUAGCGGGUCUGAGAGGAUGAUCCGCCACACUGGGACUGAGACACGGCCCAGACUCCUACGGGAGGCAGCAGUGGGGAAUAUUGGACAAUGGGGGGAACCCUGAUCCAGCCAUGUCGCGUGUGUGAAGAAGGCCUUAUGGUUGUAAAGCACUUUAAGCGAGGAGGAGGCUACUUUAGUUAAUACCUAGAGAUAGUGGACGUUACUCGCAGAAUAAGCACCGGCUAACCCUGUGCCAGCAGCCGCCGUAA
Molecule: ribosomal RNA, 501 nt
Filed under: uncultured bacterium
Lineage: Bacteria
Description: partial 16S ribosomal RNA
Rfam family: Bacterial small subunit ribosomal RNA
Source: RNAcentral